UUCAAUAUUAUUAUAUAUUCAAGGUAUGCUCACGCAUCACUCAUAAAUAUAUAUAUAUAUAAAAUUAAUUAUUAGGCACGCCUUAUGUUGCACAUGUAAUUGAUGACUUGUUGUUUAUGUUGCUUUAUGGCAAUUUGGAGUCAUGUGCGUGAGUUUGGUGUGUGUGGUGUGUAUAUGGAUAUGGGUAGGACAGUAAAUGUGGCUGGAGCUUGACUCACUGGGACUAGAUCCUUAUUAUGAAUAAGUCGGGGUAGGCACGGCUCAAGUUGAUCUCAUUGGCCCCUACAUUUGGAUAUUAAGAGAAAGUCCAGCUUUGAGUUGAUCUUGCUGGCAGAAGUUGGAACUAAGAGAGCUGUAUAGGGAAUCACCUCCUAUAUAUAUAUAUGUGUGACUAUGAAUUUUGCACACAGGUAUGUGAGUGCUCCAGAUUGCCUUUGGUGUGAUUAUGACUUGAUUUGUUUGAAUUGUGUGAAGAUGAUACAUUUCAUUCUUAGGAUGCAAUUGACUUAGAUAGUUAUAGAAAUUAUAUGUAAAAUCAAUAUCUUACUCUA
This 551-nucleotide unclassified non-coding RNA is filed under the name Hevea brasiliensis (rubber tree). Lineage: Eukaryota; Viridiplantae; Streptophyta; Magnoliopsida; Malpighiales; Euphorbiaceae. The record is from RNAcentral.